GGGAGCAGGCCUCCCGAAGCCGGCUUGCAGCAGUUGGCUUCAAACCACCCGGUGCUGCUGCGUUCAAAAGGCGUGGUGGUGAGCGACCGGGCGAAAGUCGCCCCUUGAGGGAUGGCAGGU
This is a non-coding RNA of Acidovorax sp. MR-S7, 120 nucleotides long. NCBI's taxonomy places the organism in Bacteria, Pseudomonadati, Pseudomonadota, Betaproteobacteria, Burkholderiales, Comamonadaceae. The record is from Rfam.